ACCAAAGAUUUAUCGGUGUAAGAUGGACUUGCGUCUGAUUAGCUAGUUGGUGAGAUAAAAGCCCACCAAGGCGACGAUCAGUAGCCGGCUUGAGAGAGUGUACGGCCACAUUGGGACUGAGACACGGCCCAAACUCCUACGGGAGGCAGCAGUGGGGAAUUUUGCACAAUGGGGGAAACCCUGAUGCAGCGACGCCGCGUGAUUUAGAAGGCCUUCGGGUUGUAAAAAUCUUUUUUAUGGGAUGAAAAUGACAGUACCAUAAGAAUAAGGUCCGGCUAAAUACGUGCCAGCAGCCGCGGUAAUACGUAUGGACCGAGCGUUGUCCGGAAUCAUUGGGCGUAAAGGGUACGUAGGCGGCCUAGUAAGUUAGAAGUGAAAUAAUAUAGCUCAACUAUAUAAAGCUUUUAAAACUGUUAGGCUUGAGAGAUGAAAGGGAAAGUGGAAUUCCUAGUGUAGCGGUGAAAUGCGCAGAUAUUAGGAAGAAUACCGGUGGCGAAGGCGACUUUCUGGUCAUCAUCUGACGCUGAGGUACGAAAGCGUGGGUAGCAAACAGGAUUAGAUACCCUGGUAGUCCACGCUGUAAACGAUGAGUGUUAGGUUCUUGGAAUAAUCUGGGAGCCGCAGCUAACGCAUUAAACACUCCGCCUCUGUAUUACAGGUGGUGCAUGGUUGUCGUCAGCUCGUGUCGUGAGAUGUUGGGUUAAGUCCCAUAACGAGCGCAACCCCUAUCGUUAGUUACCAUCAUUAAGUUGGGGACUCUAGCGAUACUGCCGGUGAUAAACCGGAGGAAGGUGGGGACGACGUCAAAUCAUCAUGCCCUUUAUGACUUGGGCUACACACGUGCUACAAUGGCAGAUACAGAGGGCAGCGAAAGAGCGAUCUGAAGCGAAACUCACAAAGUCUGUCCCAGUUCGGAUUGUACUCUGCAACUCGAGUACAUGAAGUUGGAGUUGCUAGUAAUCGCGACAGUAACUGGGGUGAAGUCGUAACAAGGUAGCCGUAUCGGAAGGUGCGGCUGGAUCACCUCCUUU
This 1031-nucleotide ribosomal RNA is filed under the name Veillonella parvula. Its description in RNAcentral is "bacterial SSU rRNA". It matches the Rfam family "Bacterial small subunit ribosomal RNA", at positions 200 to 1533 of the family's 1533-position model. The record is from RNAcentral. Lineage: Bacteria; Bacillati; Bacillota; Negativicutes; Veillonellales; Veillonellaceae.